UGGGAAUAUUGCACAAUGGGCGCAAGCCUGAUGCAGCGACGCCGCGUGAGGGAUGACGGCCUUCGGGUUGUAAACCUCUUUCAGUACAGAACAAGGCCUUCGGGUUGAGGGUAUGUGCAGAAGAAGCGCCGGCUAACUACGUGCCAGCAGCCGCGGUAAUACGUAGGGCGCGAGCGUUGUCCGGAAUUAUUGGGCGUAAAGAGCUCGUAGGCGGUUUGUCGCGUCUGCCGUGAAAUCCUCUGGCUUAACUGGGGGCGUGCGGUGGGUACGGGCAGACUGGAGUGCGGUAGGGGAGACUGGAAUUCCUGGUGUAGCGGUGGAAUGCGCAGAUAUCAGGAGGAACACCGGUGGCGAAGGCGGGUCUCUGGGCCGUUACUGACGCUGAGGAGCGAAAGCAUGGGGAGCGAACAGG
RNAcentral lists this ribosomal RNA (412 nucleotides) under uncultured bacterium. RNAcentral's name for it is "bacterial SSU rRNA". It matches the Rfam family "Bacterial small subunit ribosomal RNA", at positions 356 to 776 of the family's 1533-position model. The record is from RNAcentral.